RNAcentral lists this ribosomal RNA (489 nucleotides) under uncultured archaeon. Its description in RNAcentral is "bacterial SSU rRNA". It matches the Rfam family "Archaeal small subunit ribosomal RNA", at positions 335 to 824 of the family's 1478-position model. The record is from RNAcentral.
CGAGGCGCGAAACCUUUACACUGCACGCACGUGCGAUAAGGGGACUCCGAGUGCGAGGGCAUAUCGUCCUCGCUUUCGUGUACCGUAGGGUGGUACACCAACAAGGGCUGGGCAAGACCGGUGCCAGCCGCCGCGGUAAUACCGGCAGCCCGAGUGAUGACCGAUCUUAUUGGGCCUAAAGCGUCCGUAGCUGGCUGCGCAAGUCCGUCGGGAAAUCCACUCGCCCAACGAGUGGGCGUCCGACGGAAACUGCACAGCUUGGGACCGGAAGGCUCGAAGGGUACGUGCGGGGUAGGAGUGAAAUCCCAUAAUCCCGCACGGACCACCGAUGGCGAAAGCACUUCGAGAAAACGGAUCCGACAGUGAGGGACGAAAGCCAGGGUCUCCAACCGGAUUAGAUACCCGGGUAGUCCUGGCCGUAAACAAUGUUCGCUAGGUAUGACACAGACUACGUGUCUCUGUUGUGCCGUAGGAAGCCGAGAAGCGACC